Molecule: non-coding RNA, 25 nt
Filed under: Cricetulus griseus (Chinese hamster)
Lineage: Eukaryota; Metazoa; Chordata; Mammalia; Rodentia; Cricetidae
Also listed under: 1 other name
Source: RNAcentral
GAUUGUUGCUGCUGGUGUUGGUGAA